RNAcentral lists this ribosomal RNA (254 nucleotides) under uncultured bacterium. RNAcentral's name for it is "partial 16S ribosomal RNA". It matches the Rfam family "Bacterial small subunit ribosomal RNA", at positions 524 to 776 of the family's 1533-position model. The record is from RNAcentral.
UACGAAGGUCCCGAGCGUUGUUCGGAAUCACUGGGCGUAAAGGGAGCGUAGGCGGCGUGGUAAGUCAGACGUGAAAUCCCGGGGCUCAACCCCGGAACUGCGUCCGAUACUGCCGCGCUCAGAGGAUUGGAGAGGUAGCUGGAAUUCUUGGUGUAGCAGUGAAAUGCGUGGAUAUCAAGAGGAACACUCGUGGCGAAAGCGAGCUACUGGACAACUCCUGACGCUGAGGCUCGAAGGCCAGGGUAGCGAAAGGG